GACGAACGCUGGCGGCGUGCUUAACACAUGCAAGUCGAACGGAAAGGCCCUGCUUUUGUGGGGUGCUCGAGUGGCGAACGGGUGAGUAACACGUGAGUAACCUGCCCUUGACUUUGGGAUAACUUCAGGAAACUGGGGCUAAUACCGGAUAGGAGCUCCUGCUGCAUGGUGGGGGUUGGAAAGUUUCGGCGGUUGGGGAUGGACUCGCGGCUUAUCAGCUUGUUGGUGGGGUAGUGGCUUACCAAGGCUUUGACGGGUAGCCGGCCUGAGAGGGUGACCGGCCACAUUGGGACUGAGAUACGGCCCAGACUCCUACGGGAGGCAGCAGUGGGGAAUAUUGCACAAGGGGCGGAAGCCUGAUGCAGCAACGCCGCGUGCGGGAUGACGGCCUUCGGGUUGUAACCCGUUUUCGCCUGUGACGAAGCGUGAGUGACGGUAAUGGGUAAAGAAGCACCGGCUAACUACGUG
Molecule: ribosomal RNA, 468 nt
Filed under: uncultured bacterium
Lineage: Bacteria
Description: partial 16S ribosomal RNA
Rfam family: Bacterial small subunit ribosomal RNA
Source: RNAcentral